Molecule: ribosomal RNA, 424 nt
Filed under: Fusobacteriota bacterium
Lineage: Bacteria; Fusobacteriati; Fusobacteriota
Description: Fusobacteria bacterium partial 16S ribosomal RNA
Rfam family: Bacterial small subunit ribosomal RNA
Source: RNAcentral
UGAGGAAUAUUGGUCAAUGGGCGAGAGCCUGAACCAGCCAAGUAGCGCGCAGGAUGACGGCCCUAUGGGUUGUAAACUGCUUUUAUGUGGGGAUAAAGUGCGUGACGUGUCAUGCAUUGCAGGUACCACAUGAAUAAGGACCGGCUAAUUCCGUGCCAGCAGCCGCGGUAAUACGGAAGGUCCGGGCGUUAUCCGGAUUUAUUGGGUUUAAAGGGAGCGUAGGCUGUCUAUUAAGCGUGUUGUGAAAUUUACCGGCUCAACCGGUGGCUUGCAGCGCGAACUGGUCGACUUGAGUAUGCAGGAAGUAGGCGGAAUUCAUGGUGUAGCGGUGAAAUGCUUAGAUAUCAUGACGAACUCCGAUUGCGCAGGCAGCUUACUGUAGCAUAACUGACGCUGAUGCUCGAAAGUGCGGGUAUCAAACAGG